AUUGAACGCUGGCGGCAGGCUUAACACAUGCAAGUCGAGCGGGGUGAUGGUGCUUGCACUAUCACUUAGCGGCGGACGGGUGAGUAAUGCUUUGGAAUCUGCCUAUUAGUGGGGGACAACAUCUCGAAAGGGAUGCUAAUACCGCAUACGUCCUACGGGAGAAAGCAGGGGAUCACUUGUGACCUUGCGCUAAUAGAUGAGCCUAAGUCGGAUUAGCUAGUUGGUGGGGUAAAGGCCUACCAAGGCGACGAUCUGUAGCGGGUCUGAGAGGAUGAUCCGCCACACGGGGACUGAGACACGGCCCAGACUCCUACGGGAGGCAGCAGUGGGGGAUAUUGGACAAUGGGGGGAACCCUGAUCCAGCCAUGCCGCGUGUGUGAAGAAGGCGUUAUGGUUGUAGAGCACUUUAAGCGAGGAGGAGGCUCUUUUGGUUAAUACCCAAGAUGAGUGGACGUUACUCGCAGAAUAAGCACCGGCUAACUCUGUGCCAGCAGCCGCAGUAA
This 503-nucleotide ribosomal RNA is filed under the name uncultured bacterium. RNAcentral describes it as "partial 16S ribosomal RNA". It matches the Rfam family "Bacterial small subunit ribosomal RNA", at positions 30 to 523 of the family's 1533-position model. The record is from RNAcentral.